GUGGCAUUAGUUCAGUGGUAGAACGCCUGACUGUGGAUCAGGAUGUCGUGGGUUCAAAUCCCACAUGCCACC
This 72-nucleotide transfer RNA is filed under the name Marinitoga piezophila KA3. It matches the Rfam family "tRNA". From Rfam's summary of the family: Transfer RNA (tRNA) molecules are approximately 80 nucleotides in length. Their secondary structure includes four short double-helical elements and three loops (D, anti-codon, and T loops). The record is from Rfam by way of RNAcentral. Lineage: Bacteria; Thermotogati; Thermotogota; Thermotogae; Petrotogales; Petrotogaceae.